RNAcentral lists this long non-coding RNA (1158 nucleotides) under Ananas comosus (pineapple). RNAcentral describes it as "long non-coding RNA (ACOM_LNC038197)". Lineage: Eukaryota; Viridiplantae; Streptophyta; Magnoliopsida; Poales; Bromeliaceae. The record is from RNAcentral.
UGAUUUUCAUUCUCAUAUUUAUAGUAGAAGGGGUGGCGAGAGAUAUUUUGAGUAGUCAGUUGGGGACUCAAAAUUCGAAAUCGAAUUUUGAAUUCGAAUGGAUGUGGUUGGUUGAAAGAUAUUUUGGGAGUUGGUUGGGGAUUUGAAAUUCGAAAUCGAAUUUUGAAUUUGUUGUUGGACGGAUGAGUAUUCAAAAUUCGAAUGGAUGUGGUUGGUUGGAAGAUAUUUUGGGAGUUAGUUGGGGAUUCGAAAUCGAAUUUUGAAUCGGUUGUUGGAUGGAUGAGUAUUCAAAUUCGAAUGGAUGUGGUUGAUUGGGAAUUUGAAAUUUGAAAUCGAAUUUUAAAUAAGUUGUUGGAUGGAUGAGUAUUCAAAAUUCGAAUGGAUGUUGGUUGAGAGAUAUUUUGGGAGUUAGUUGGGGAUUCGAAAUUCGAAAUCGAAUUGUAAAUGGGUUGUGAGAUUGUUGGAAGAUAUUUUUGCAGUUGGUUUGGAAUUCGAAAUUCGAAAUCGAAUUUUGAAUGGGUUGUUAAAUGGUUGGAGGAUAUUUUGGGAAUUGGUUUUGAAUUCGAAAUUCGAAAUCGAAUUUUGAAUGGGUUAUUGGAGGAUAUUUCGGGAAUUGGUUGAGAAUUCGAAAUUCGAAAUUCGAAAUCGAAUUUUGAAUUGGUUAUUAGAUGGUUGGAGGGUAUUUUGAAAAUUAGUUGGGAAUUAGAAAUUCGAAAUCGAAUUUUGAAUGGGUUGUUGGAUGGUUAGGUAUUCAAAAUUCGAAUGAGAGAUAUUUUGGAUGUUGGUUCGAAAUUCGAAGUCGAAUUUCAAAUAGGAUUAUUAGGAUAACAUAUAUUUUCUAGUUGGUUGGGGGUUUAAAAAUUUAAAAUCAAAUUUGAAUAUGAUAUUCGAAAUUGAAUUUUCAAACGUGGGUGAAAAUGUGGGCCGUGAUCCCAUGAAUUGGGCUGAAAUUGGGCCCACUUUGAUGAAACUUGUUGGGCACGAAUAUUCAUUGGCUGAGAUGUGGCCUGAAUUUUUGUAUAGGCCUAAAAUUUUAAAGGGCUUUCAUGAGGCCCAUUAAUUCAUAUUUAUGAAUAUGAAUGGGUCUAUUAUAGAUUUUUCUGAUCAACAUGAAACCUAUUGGAAUUACAUGAAUCUGAAUCUAAUCGAAUUUUUUUU